This 1117-nucleotide long non-coding RNA is filed under the name Equus caballus (horse). Its description in RNAcentral is "lncRNA (ENSECAG00000046946.1)". Lineage: Eukaryota; Metazoa; Chordata; Mammalia; Perissodactyla; Equidae. The record is from RNAcentral.
UCUAAAUUAAAUGUUUUCACUUCCCCAAAUACUAUUUUUCCUCAACCCACUCCAGAUAGGUUUCUGUCCCCAUCACUUCACUGAAACUGCAGCUGUCUAGAUCACCAGGGAAACCAGCUGCCAUGUCGUAAAGAUGCUCAGAUGACCUUCUGGAGAGACAUGUUUAGUGAGGAACUGAGGCUUCCUGCCAAUGGCCAUGUGAGUGAGAGUUUGGAAUGGGAUCUUCCAGGCCUGCCCAGGAUCACUGCAGCCUCAUGAGAAGCCCUGAGGGAGGACCACCCAGGCAAGCCGCGCCCAGAUUCUCGACUCAGAAAUUGCAAAGAUGCCUUGCUGUCUCUCUGGCUCAGCCUUCCCACCAUCACUAAAGCUGCCAGUUAACCAGUCUUUGAGUGUGGCUUCAGGAAGACAGAGCUGCGUGGUGGACUGCUUCUUUGUGGAGCCCACUGCUUCUCCAUGUAACGUUUCAGCACUCUCUGCAGAGAGCACUUACAGCGCCCUGGAGCAGCUGUCCGAAACCGCCUUCACUCUGGCGGCGCAAGCCGGUUCCAGCUCUUCUCCAUUCCAUUCACUUCCUGAGACCAGAGAUCUGGUCUCCAGCCACUGGUUCUCUUCCAGGCUUAGAAAUCAACUUUCCGGGAGUGGAAGAAGAGACUGUCUCUUAGCUUUAAUUAAUUGUUGAAAGAAUAGAGAGGAGUCUAUAGUUCUAGAAGGAAAAAAGGGAGGAAUGGAAAUUUUCUGGACAGGGGACAAAGAAGUAAAAGAAAGAUAAUUUUCCAACUCACUCUCUUCACCCUAGUCUUUAAAAGGUUUUGUUGGGUGUUAUGAGGUUUGAAAUCUAUCUUUAGGGAGGGAUGUGUUACUCAAAAGAAAUUGCCUCUAGAUUGUUUUCCCAAGUCAGUCAUUUAAAAAAUAUUUUAAUGUCAUUCUGCUUAAAUUUUUUAAACAGUGAAGUUUAUCUGCAAAGUACUUCUCAACUCAGGGUAGGAUAGGGGUAAAUUUGAGGUAGUAAGUGUGUUAGAAUCUUGAGGUAGGUUUCCUUUGAAAAAAACAAGUAGGUAUCAUUUUUAUUGGGAAAAUGAAAAAAUGCGUAAGUUUUCACAUUACAAACUGAGGAGAG